This 73-nucleotide transfer RNA is filed under the name Planctomycetota bacterium. RNAcentral's name for it is "tRNA-Arg". It matches the Rfam family "tRNA". From Rfam's summary of the family: Transfer RNA (tRNA) molecules are approximately 80 nucleotides in length. Lineage: Bacteria; Pseudomonadati; Planctomycetota. The record is from RNAcentral.
GCGCCCGCGCUCAGCUGGAUAGACUGUCUGCCUCCGGAGCAGAAGGUCUCAGGUUCGAAUCCUGUCGGGCGUA